UUCCUUUGGACUUUGUUGACUGAAGGCAUACUUAUGCAAUCUGAUGAGAACUUUAGUCAGGACUGGAGCAGAUGGAUUUAGAUCUUAUGAAGGGUCCAUUCAAUGCGUAGAGGUUGACGCAUCAUGGCGCAAUGGACACAAGGGAGUUCAGAUGAAGCCAAAACAUUGGACCAUUGUACAAGUGUCUCAUUACUUCAGUUUUCCUUAAAGG
Lolium rigidum is the source of this 211-nucleotide long non-coding RNA. RefSeq lists it as uncharacterized. The record is from RefSeq and is a predicted model, not a curated record. The transcript has 3 exons. NCBI's taxonomy places the organism in Eukaryota, Viridiplantae, Streptophyta, Magnoliopsida, Poales, Poaceae.